This 66-nucleotide transfer RNA is filed under the name uncultured Symbiodinium. The record is from RNAcentral. Lineage: Eukaryota; Dinophyceae; Suessiales; Symbiodiniaceae.
CAGUGUGGCCAAGCGGUUAGAGUCCUGGACUAGUAAUCUGGAGGCCCCAAGUUCAAGUCCCGCCCU